Molecule: ribosomal RNA, 2127 nt
Filed under: Cronobacter sakazakii
Lineage: Bacteria; Pseudomonadati; Pseudomonadota; Gammaproteobacteria; Enterobacterales; Enterobacteriaceae
Description: bacterial LSU rRNA
Rfam family: Bacterial large subunit ribosomal RNA
Source: RNAcentral
UUAAGCGAACAAGCGUACACGGUGGAUGCCCUGGCAGUCAGAGGCGAUGAAGGACGUGCUAAUCUGCGAAAAGCGCCGGUAAGGUGAUAUGAACCGUUAUAACCGGCGAUGUCCGAAUGGGGAAACCCGGUGCACUUCGGUGCAUCAUCGUUAGCUGAAUACAUAGGCUAACGAGGCGAACCGGGGGAACUGAAACAUCUAAGUACCCCGAGGAAAAGAAAUCAACCGAGAUUCCCCCAGUAGCGGCGAGCGAACGGGGAACAGCCCAGAGCCUGAAUCAGCUUGUGUGUCAGUGGAACGGUCUGGAAAGGCCGGCGAUACAGGGUGACAGCCCCGUACACGAAGGCACACAGGCUGUGAGCUCGAUGAGUAGGGCGGGACACGUGAUAUCCUGUCUGAAGAUGGGGGGACCAUCCUCCAAGGCUAAAUACUCCUGACUGACCGAUAGUGAACCAGUACCGUGAGGGAAAGGCGAAAAGAACCCCGGCGAGGGGAGUGAAACAGAACCUGAAACCGUGUACGUACAAGCAGUGGGAGCCUUCGUAAGAGGGUGACUGCGUACCUUUUGUAUAAUGGGUCAGCGACUUAUAUUCUGUAGCAAGGUUAACCGUAUAGGGGAGCCGAAGGGAAACCGAGUCUUAAUUGGGCGUUAAGUUGCAGGGUAUAGACCCGAAACCCGGUGAUCUAGCCAUGGGCAGGUUGAAGGUUGGGUAACACUAACUGGAGGACCGAACCGACUAAUGUUGAAAAAUUAGCGGAUGACCUGUGGCUGGGGGUGAAAGGCCAAUCAAACCGGGAGAUAGCUGGUUCUCCCCGAAAGCUAUUUAGGUAGCGCCUCGUGAACUCAUCUCCGGGGGUAGAGCACUGUUUCGGCUAGGGGGCCAUCCCGGCUUACCAACCCGAUGCAAACUGCGAAUACCGGAGAAUGUUAUCACGGGAGACACACGGCGGGUGCUAACGUCCGUCGUGAAGAGGGAAACAACCCAGACCGCCAGCUAAGGUCCCAAAGUCAUGGUUAAGUGGGAAACGAUGUGGGAAGGCCCAGACAGCCAGGAUGUUGGCUUAGAAGCAGCCAUCAUUUAAAGAAAGCGUAAUAGCUCACUGGUCGAGUCGGCCUGCGCGGAAGAUGUAACGGGGCUAAACCAUGCACCGAAGCUGCGGCAGCGACGCUUAUGCGUUGUUGGGUAGGGGAGCGUUCUGUAAGCCUGCGAAGGUGUGCUGUGAGGCAUGCUGGAGGUAUCAGAAGUGCGAAUGCUGACAUAAGUAACGAUAAAGCGGGUGAAAAGCCCGCUCGCCGGAAGACCAAGGGUUCCUGUCCAACGUUAAUCGGGGCAGGGUGAGUCGACCCCUAAGGCGAGGCCGAAAGGCGUAGUCGAUGGGAAACAGGUUAAUAUUCCUGUACUUGGUGUUACUGCGAAGGGGGGACGGAGAAGGCUAUGUCGGCCGGGCGACGGUUGUCCCGGUUUAAGCGUGUAGGCUGACUUUCCAGGCAAAUCCGGAAAGUUAAGGCUGAGGCGUGAUGACGAGGCACUACGGUGCUGAAGUGACAAAUGCCCUGCUUCCAGGAAAAGCCUCUAAGCAUCAGGUAACAUCAAAUCGUACCCCAAACCGACACAGGUGGUCAGGUAGAGAAUACCAAGGCGCUUGAGAGAACUCGGGUGAAGGAACUAGGCAAAAUGGUGCCGUAACUUCGGGAGAAGGCACGCUGACAUGUAGGUGAAGCCCCUGCGGGUGGAGCUGAAGUCAGUCGAAGAUACCAGCUGGCUGCAACUGUUUAUUAAAAACACAGCACUGUGCAAACACGAAAGUGGACGUAUACGGUGUGACGCCUGCCCGGUGCCGGAAGGUUAAUUGAUGGGGUUAUCGCAAGAGAAGCUCCUGAUCGAAGCCCCGGUAAACGGCGGCCGUAACUAUAACGGUCCUAAGGUAGCGAAAUUCCUUGUCGGGUAAGUUCCGACCUGCACGAAUGGCGUAAUGAUGGCCAGGCUGUCUCCACCCGAGACUCAGUGAAAUUGAACUCGCUGUGAAGAUGCAGUGUACCCGCGGCAAGACGGAAAGACCCCGUGAACCUUUACUACAGCUUGACACUGAACAUUGAGCCUUGAUGUGUAGGAUAGGUGGGAGGCU